GCCCGGGUGGUGGAAUAGGUAGACACAAGAGACUUAAAAUCUCUCGGCCUCACGGCCGUGCCGGUUCAAUUCCGGCCCCGGGUACCA
RNAcentral lists this transfer RNA (87 nucleotides) under Halodesulfovibrio aestuarii. RNAcentral describes it as "tRNA-Leu". It matches the Rfam family "tRNA". Rfam says of the family: Transfer RNA (tRNA) molecules are approximately 80 nucleotides in length. Lineage: Bacteria; Pseudomonadati; Thermodesulfobacteriota; Desulfovibrionia; Desulfovibrionales; Desulfovibrionaceae. The record is from RNAcentral. RNAcentral also lists the same sequence under 6 other names.